UGGCUCAGAGGUUAAAGCGUCUGCCUGGAAUGCAGAAGACCCAGGUUCGAUCCCUGG
Molecule: transfer RNA, 57 nt
Filed under: Bos taurus (domestic cattle)
Lineage: Eukaryota; Metazoa; Chordata; Mammalia; Artiodactyla; Bovidae
Also listed under: 6 other names
Rfam family: tRNA
About the family: Transfer RNA (tRNA) molecules are approximately 80 nucleotides in length. Their secondary structure includes four short double-helical elements and three loops (D, anti-codon, and T loops). Further hydrogen bonds mediate the characteristic L-shaped molecular structure. tRNAs have two regions of fundamental functional importance: the anti-codon, which is responsible for specific mRNA codon recognition, and the 3' end, to which the tRNAs corresponding amino acid is attached (by aminoacyl-tRNA synthetases). tRNAs cope with the degeneracy of the genetic code in two manners: having more than one tRNA (with a specific anti-codon) for a particular amino acid; and 'wobble' base-pairing, i.e. permitting non-standard base-pairing at the 3rd anti-codon position.
Source: Rfam by way of RNAcentral